UUGAAAGGGAAACGAUUGAAGUCAGUCGUACCUGCGGAUAAUCAACCUUUAGGAUGCGAUUUUGUGGAGCGUGAGGAGCUAAUCGUCUUCAUGCCUGUAUAUUUCGUGUACUUGGGGUGUACUUAUUCGUGCGGUAGGUUAACAUCAAUUUUGGUCGUUAUAAAAUGGCUGGAGGAAUGUAGCUUCGAUCUCGUAUUGAAGUGUUAUAGCCUUCGGUAGAUGUGAUGAUCGGGAUUGAGGAUUGCAACGGAUACCCUUCGGGGCUACCUGUCUGAUCUCUGAUCGUUGCUCUGGUGCCGAAAGCGUGCUUACGGUCAUCAAAGUCGAUGGUCAAUAGGUUAGAACGGGUUAAAUUCGUUAAGGAUGUUGACGUA
This 374-nucleotide ribosomal RNA is filed under the name uncultured Glomeromycotina. RNAcentral's name for it is "LSU rRNA". Lineage: Eukaryota; Fungi; Glomeromycota. The record is from RNAcentral.